Long non-coding RNA from Morone saxatilis (striped sea-bass), 1324 nucleotides. RefSeq lists it as uncharacterized. The record is from RefSeq and is a predicted model, not a curated record. Lineage: Eukaryota; Metazoa; Chordata; Actinopteri; Moronidae. The transcript is spliced from 3 exons.
CUCAGAGGUCAUGGCGCUUGUAGGUCGAGGGGUCAAAAGGGAAUGGUGAGAGGCUCAGCGACGUGGCGUAUGGAGGAUCUCCUGUUGGCUCACUGAACGGGUGCUGUGCAGCAGCCUUGGCUCAAGUCUGGAAGAGCAGGAGAGCAUCUGGGGAAGUCACCGAAGUGAAAGGUAGAGUCCUUCCCUCGUGCAUGUUCACAAGUUCUUCAUUUAGCCUCUGCAAUGGCCGCUGCUGCAACGCACAAACACAAAACCACACAAGACGUGGAAAUGGCAAUUGGAUCUGCAGAGUGACUAAAAGCUGGGGAAUUGUUUUCACAAGUGCCUGCCAAAUGGGGGGAACAGCUCGGGAGGAAUUCCAACCCUCUGGAGGAGCCGAAAGGCUCGUCCCCUUUCCCUCUCUGUGUAACCCCCCCACACUGUAUUCCCAUUCUCUGACUCUCGACGUGCCUCACUCUCCUGUCAACUCCAUGCCCCCCCCGCACUUUCCCAGUUUCUCAGAUCCCGCUCAGGCAGACACAAACGAUGAAAAAACUAAAGAAGCUUUAACAUUUUAAUUUGGUAGCUAUUCUUAGAGCGGUGCUGAACUUAAAAAUGUGUCCUGUGCUGGAACUUUUUUAUGGUAGUGGGGGCUUUUGCAGCACGAUUUCAGAAAAAGACAAUCAUCUGGUACAUGUGAGAGAACUUACUCACCAAUUGUUCUGUACUUCAGUCAGUCACAGAACAUUCGUAGAUUUGUCACUACUGGACUGAGAAUGUCAUGUAACUGUUACUCAUCACUGGAGUGAAGAUGUUGCAUUCAGACCAGACUCUGAUUUAACAAAUAAAAUUGUUGUUUAGUGCUUGAUGCUUCUGGAAGAUAGAAAUUACAAAGGAGACUGGAGACUGAAUACAGAGUGGGCCAAUGCCAGGGUCUAGUUAACAAUGGCUGGAUGAAUUCAGCCUCCUAAGGAUACAGAAAUCUACAUCUAAGCCUUCAUCUACCAUCCAUGCAGUAACUUUCAUAUGUCCUUGAACAACAAAGAGCCUAUUGGCCCACGCAUUUUCCAUUCAUGCUCACUGUAUAUAAUCAAGGUGGGAGAACUUCAAUGUGCCUUCCUACCAGGAAGAACACCAACCCCUAUGUCUCUUUUUCCUCCAAUUCCCCUGGAGAGCCAAGAUGAGGAAGAAGAAGGGAAAUACUGGGCUCCUGCAAAAAAAAAAACCUUGCUUAAUUGCAAGUAGAAAAAAACAAAUGUUUAGCAGCAGACUCAAGCCAAACAAGCCAGGCUAGAGGGACUAGGGUAAGGAAAGAGGAACUGAGAGAAGAGAUAUGCCCGAUGAG